AACGUAGGAGGCGAGCGUUAUCCGGAUUUACUGGGUGUAAAGCGCGUGCAGGCGGUUUGGUAAGUUGGAUGUGAAAGCUCCUGGCUUAACUGGGAGAGGUCGUUCAAAACUACCAGACUUGAGGGCGGUAGAGGGAGGUGGAAUUCCGUGUGUAGUGGUGAAAUGCGUAGAUAUACGGAGGAACACCAGUGGCGAAAGCGGCCUCCUGGACCGAUCCUGACGCUCAGACGCGAAAGCUAGGGUAGCAAACGGG
This 253-nucleotide ribosomal RNA is filed under the name uncultured bacterium. Its description in RNAcentral is "partial 16S ribosomal RNA". It matches the Rfam family "Bacterial small subunit ribosomal RNA", at positions 524 to 776 of the family's 1533-position model. The record is from RNAcentral.